This 245-nucleotide ribosomal RNA is filed under the name uncultured Eubacteriales bacterium. RNAcentral's name for it is "uncultured Clostridiales bacterium partial 16S ribosomal RNA". It matches the Rfam family "Bacterial small subunit ribosomal RNA", at positions 796 to 1041 of the family's 1533-position model. The record is from RNAcentral. Lineage: Bacteria; Bacillati; Bacillota; Clostridia; Eubacteriales.
CACGCCGUAAACGAUGAGCACUAGGUGUCGGGGCCGCAAGGCUUCGGUGCCGCAGUUAACGCAUUAAGUGCUCCGCCUGGGGAGUACGCACGCAAGUGUGAAACUCAAAGGAAUUGACGGGGACCCGCACAAGCAGCGGAGCAUGUGGUUUAAUUCGAAGCAACGCGAAGAACCUUACCAGGACUUGACAUCCCUCUGACAGUCCCUUAACCGGGAUCUCCCUUCGGGGCAGAGGUGACAGGUGG